RNAcentral lists this ribosomal RNA (292 nucleotides) under uncultured bacterium. Its description in RNAcentral is "partial 16S ribosomal RNA". The record is from RNAcentral.
GGACUACUGGGGUUUCUAAUCCUGUUUGCUCCCCACGCUUUCGUUUCUCAGCGUCAGUCUCUGACCAGUCGCCCGCCUUCGCCACAGGUGUUCCUCCAUAUAUCUACGCAUUUCACCGCUACACAUGGAAUUCCAGCGACCCCUUCAGUACUCUAGUGCUGAGGUCUCCUAGGCAGUUCCCGAGUUAAGCUCGGGGAUUUCACCUAGGACUCUCAGAACCGCCUACAAACGCUUUACGCCCAGUAAUUCCGAACAACGCUUGCACCCUCUGUAUUACCGCGGCUGCUGGCAC